Non-coding RNA from Schizosaccharomyces pombe (fission yeast), 410 nucleotides. Lineage: Eukaryota; Fungi; Ascomycota; Schizosaccharomycetes; Schizosaccharomycetales; Schizosaccharomycetaceae. The record is from the annotation of a GenBank genome assembly.
GUUUGCCCCGCUUUAGUUGUUACGAUCAUAUUUUCUAUCGAUUGCACAUUCAAUUGGGAGGGUUCUGAUGCAGUAACUUGGCAACACAGAUGAGGCACAUUUUCUUCAAACAAGCGGUCAAUCUUCAAGGUUGAAUUUUUAUCCUUGAAUGAGUUGACUCUCGAUUUGUCUCUUAAUAAUAAUAUCACCCGAUUAUUUAUUGAUUUUAAACUAGCUAAUUCAUAUGCUAACAGACUACCGAUACUACCUGCUCCCAAAAUAUAAAUUGUGUUAUUCAUUUGAAGUAAAUGAAAUAACGAUCAACUUCAUAUCAAACGUUAGCAGGACACUGAAUCGUGACUGUCCUUAUCAAAAUAAUUAGUGCUGUAGCAAGCAGCGUUAAAGACUGCAUAAUAAUAUCAUCUUAUCGA